AACCAGCACCUCAAGUGGUCAGGAUGAUUAUUGGGCCUAAAGCAUCCGUAGCCUGUUCUAUAAGUCUCCGGUUAAAUCCAUCAACUCAAGUGAUGGGCUGCCGGAGAUACUGUAGAACUAGGGAGUGGGAGAGGUAGACGGUACUCGGUAGGAAGGGGUAAAAUCCUUUGAUCUAUUGAUGACCACCUGUGGCGAAGGCGGUCUACCAGAACACGUUCGACGGUGAGGGAUGAAAGCUGGGGGAGCAAACCGG
Molecule: ribosomal RNA, 253 nt
Filed under: uncultured archaeon
Lineage: Archaea
Description: partial 16S ribosomal RNA
Rfam family: Archaeal small subunit ribosomal RNA
Source: RNAcentral